This is a non-coding RNA of Pelobates cultripes (western spadefoot toad), 102 nucleotides long. Lineage: Eukaryota; Metazoa; Chordata; Amphibia; Anura; Pelobatidae. The record is from the annotation of a GenBank genome assembly.
GAUGUCAGGAGGAGGGGGCGUGACUUCCUCUGCUCUUCUCCCAGACUCCCCAGUGAUCCUGUGAGAAGAGCAGUGGAAGUCACACCCCCUCCUCCUGACAUC